Molecule: ribosomal RNA, 253 nt
Filed under: uncultured bacterium
Lineage: Bacteria
Description: partial 16S ribosomal RNA
Rfam family: Bacterial small subunit ribosomal RNA
Source: RNAcentral
UACGUAGGGGGCAAGCGUUAUCCGGAUUUACUGGGUGUAAAGGGAGCGUAGACGGAAUUGCAAGUCUGAUGUGAAAAUCCGGGGCCCAACCCCGGAACUGCAUUGGAAACUGUAUUUCUAGAGUGUCGGAGAGGCAAGUGGAAUUCCUGGUGUAGCGGUGAAAUGCGUAGAUAUUAGGAGGAACACCAGUGGCGAAGGCGGCCUACUGGACGGUGACUGACGCUGAGGCUCGAAAGCGUGGGGAGCAAACAGG